UGAUUCCCAUACAUGCCGAGCCCACAGAGUGCCUCCCCAGACUGCUGCUUACUCCUUGAGAAGCACACAUCUGCCUGGCCAGAUAAGAACCUGUCACUACAGCAGGGAGGGAAAAUGAGAUAUUGGAGAAGACAGAGAAAGACAAAGGGAAAAGGAUACUUCUGGAUAUUUCAAAGAUGUCUAAACUUCACUUCCAGAUUUCCCUGGCAUGCUCAUCAAUUUCAUGUUAAGAAUUAUAAGCAACUUAUUUUUUCAUCUUCUCUCCAACCGGAGUAGAGCUAUGCAUCUACAAGUGGAGCUGUCAUUCUGCCUCCCAAGUACCUCUUCUGGAAGAGACCUUAAAAUGCAUUGUUUUGUGUAAAAAAGCAUUCAUUGCUUUGCUCCCAGCUGCAGCUGAUGUAGUAGGAGAGAGCUGCUCACCCUUAGUUUACAGACCAGUUUGGCCACACAGCUUGCUAGGUAAAGACAGGCCAGCACACUCAGAUUGGUGCCAGGAAUAUUGCUGCUGAUUGUGCUUACCAAACCAUGUUAUGUCAGCUGCAUCCAUGUCAGAGGAGCAUGUGCAAGACCAGUUACAGCUAAUAAGCCUCUAUCUGAGGGAAAAAAUGAGACCAGAGUGAGAUUUAUGACAAUUUCAAGCACAGAAUAAGCAGUAUGAACAGAUGAGCCUCAAAGAAUGGUAAGGUCCUCUUUACAUACAAAUAUUUUUUGGGGGGAGGGGAGUGAAAAAGGAAUAAAAUCAGAAAAUAAUAGAAUGAAUUAUAGCAAAUACUCUUUCUAAGUAAAGUCGUUUUGCAUUUCCCAUGGGAGUCAGUUGAAUGAGAGAAGACAAAAAAAAAAGGAAGAGUAGAAACUGCUUGCAACACAGAACAAACCUUGAGUGCCAAGAACAUGCUCCAGAUUUUUUUAAAGAUGCCUGGCUCUUAUCUCAGCCUUGAUUCAUCACAGUUUACUCCCAGAAUUAUUCAGAAUUCAAGGACCUUGCUCCUGUGGGGUUAAUGGGUUACAUUCAGCAUUGAAACCCAUGACACAAAUAGCUGCUUAAUUAUUCACUCGAAGAUGGUUUUAGUGGCUAAUCUAAAUAAAAACAGCAACAGCAAAAAUUACAUUGUUUUACCUUCUGUAGGUGAAAUGAUUUUUUCUUUUAACUGUAUAAUCCAGGACCGUGCACAGGCAGGAGGGGGCCCGUAAAAAGGAGGGGUUGUGCUGCUUGUGACACAAAAGAUUAGCAUGCUCAUGACUGAAGAGGAGGAAAAGGAAAACACUGCCAUAAAAGUGACAGUCGAGGUGAAGAAUUGUGGUGAAUGUGUAAUGCACCACUGAAAAGAUGCAGAAGAAAACAUACCAAACUGGAAGUCUUAUCAUAUCUAUCCUGCUAUUCCAAAGCACGAAUUAAUUUGAAAGGAAGAAGCUGCUGUUCUCGUUGGCUCACAUAAUUUGUUCAUAAAC
Molecule: long non-coding RNA, 1449 nt
Organism: Pipra filicauda (Wire-tailed manakin)
Lineage: Eukaryota; Metazoa; Chordata; Aves; Passeriformes; Pipridae
Exons: 3
Source: RefSeq, a predicted model, not a curated record